Molecule: long non-coding RNA, 275 nt
Organism: Diabrotica virgifera virgifera (western corn rootworm)
Lineage: Eukaryota; Metazoa; Arthropoda; Insecta; Coleoptera; Chrysomelidae
Exons: 2
Source: RefSeq, a predicted model, not a curated record
AGUUACUUAUUGUUUAAAAAAAAUCUACAACUAAUAUUACAGGUAGUAAUUCAUAAACAAAAAUGUAUGUAUAUAAUUUAUUAUUAACAUAAUCAGGAAUAUGCGAAUGAAAUGAUUCGCAGGCAUUUGUUGUACGAUUUAGUUCAGCAACAUUUGCAGCCCAGAGUCCAGGUGGAAAUAAUGACCCUUCACUUAUAUAACUUUCCACUAAAUAAUCCGCAAAUUUUACAACUUUUUCACUUUCCGGUUGAAAUGGACAUAAUUCGAAAACAAAC